This 4665-nucleotide unclassified non-coding RNA is filed under the name Neodiprion pinetum (white pine sawfly). RNAcentral's name for it is "U11/U12 small nuclear ribonucleoprotein 48 kDa protein-like, transcript variant X2". Lineage: Eukaryota; Metazoa; Arthropoda; Insecta; Hymenoptera; Diprionidae. The record is from RNAcentral.
CGUGCUUUGCCGUGCUUGUAAUUCAUCAACUGCACAAUGCGUGCUAUUUACGUUCUGCCGUUUGUAUUCUCACGUUAAACUUUCUUUCGCUAAAUUAUGAAAUUUGAAAUUGCUUGAGAUAGUGAACACAAUAUCUAUGCACUCAACCAGUUAGAAUUCAUCAUUGUCAGACCUCAAGUAAGAUAUUACUGAAUCUGUCGUGCGGCACAGAAUGUCAGAAAUCAACGAAGAGCGUGAAAAACAACUUCAAGACUUGAAUAGCUUCAUUCAGUUGUCUUACGAACAACUAACCAGUGUUGUAUCUUCGCUAGGCUGGACCAUAGAGAGCAUUUCAAACGAGAGCCAGACCACUGUUGCUUGCCCGUUUGAUAAUGGUCAUCGAGUCAAGGAAGCUAGUCUUGGAAAGCAUUUGGAAAAAUGUCAAUGGAAAGCUGAAGGGUACACGGAAUAUGAUUUACCCCUCUCAGAGCCUUGCCCAUCUGUUGAUCCUUCAUCUUCCAUUAAAUUUGAUGAACAUCUGCAGGAUGAGGUAUUGCUAAAAGCUCGCGAACAAGAUCCUACAAUGCAUACAGCAGCAGGUAUCGGUGACAGAUUAAUUCCUCGAACAUCGGACAGACUCACAGCAAGUUUCACUAGCGAUGAGAGAAAAGCUGUUUACGAUUACGUUAUAGCCAACACAAUUACGCCUGACAUUGGAUGUGACAUUGCUGAUAUGAAUAACGUAACCAAGAAAGACAAAGAUUCUCCAAAAACUUCCCUCCUUGAGUUACUAGCACAGGAACGUAAUUUGAAACGAAGAAGAGCCAAGCAUCGAGGUGUUCAUACAAACAAAAAAUCUCAAGUUGAAAUAUUACGAGAAGUGAUCAAUCAACAGAUGGAAAUGUAUGAAGAGUACAUCACUGAUUCCUUAAUAAAAAUAAAGCCCAAGUCUUCUGUUAAAUUGGAAGCUAGUUCGUCAGAUUUUCACACCGAUUUUGAUAAGAAAAAUCUAGGAAAUAAAUAUUCCUCCGAGUGGCCGAGAAAAAGCUCCACUAAAAGUGACAAAAAGAAGAACUUUUAUGCGUUUUCGCCGGGCAAAAAAUCCCCCACACAGAAUAAUGACCUCGAUUGUGUCAAGAGAAGAAACAGGUCUCUGUCCCGAGGUAGUGAAAGACAACAGCACCACUCCAGACACACGAGAGGUCGUUCAAAGGAAAGGAGUCGGCACCAGGAUGUGAGUCGUAGAUACCGAAGAAGGGAAGAAAAAUCGUGGAACAAGGCAGAAAAUAAUUAUCAAACAGAGGAGGAUAAAACGAAGGAACGAAAAAAACGAGGUCGGUCGCGGGAAAGGAGUGAAAAAUAUGUUGAGAAAUCACGGCGACAUGAAAAAUAUGAUGGUGGUUAUUUCUACAAGCAUCAGCGUGUACGUGAUACGUCUAAAAAUUCGAAGAAAAACCCUUGAUUAUAUCUCUUCAUCAUUUACGAGCAUUGAAUUAGAUUCGACAUUUGAUCAUUAUUACGACUGUACAUUUAGUUAAGAAACAAAGUCGAAUCAAUAACUAAAGAACGAGGGAUAAAAAUAUGGCAAUAAAAUUGUUUUAAAUCAGAUCCGAAUUCAAGUUUCACCUGUAUGAUAACAGUAUCAUCCGUACUUUGUCAGCAGUUUUUGAUCGAUGUAAUCUCAUUUUAUCAGCCUUACUCUAGGCAACCCGACGUACUGCAAUGGUAAUGACUGCAACCAACAGCAUCUGAUGCAAACUUCAGGUAGAUCCUAGAAUCACGGGUCGCGUUUAUUGUCGAGGUUGAGGACUCUUGAGUUCAAAACUUCGAACGUUGUGUUGACGUGUUUGUGCUAAAGAAUGGAUUCAACGUUAAAAAAAAGUGGUAAAAAACACAGCACUCCUGUCUUGUAUCAAAAAAAUUUGGAACUAUAUUUUCCACUAUCCGAAAUACGAUCGGGAGAUACAUCAACCUUGCGUGAUGCGAUUUAUAGCGACUCGGACGAUGGCGAGCGAAAAUCAAAACAAACGCGCAGAAGAAGACUGAUUCAAAACACCAAUUUGUACGCUAAAAUCAACAAGAUUAACUCGAGCUCUGAUUCUGAAUAUGAAACUUUCUAUGAAUGCGAAAUAAAUUCUUCGAAUAACGAACGGCAGGUCACCAGCCUACUUCAUAAGAAGACAGAAAAUUUUUACGAAAGCACACAGUCUGAUACGGAUGUCACAAUCCCACAAGUCGUUAUUGCAUCUCCUCAGCCUGGGGAAUUAUUUUACUCUCCAACGCAAGAUAUUCGCAAACACUAUGGCGAAUCGUUAAACUAUCAGUCCAAUGAAUCACCACUGCAUUUACAAUAUUGGAAUUCUCCUAAGUUUCAGAGGCAAUUUCAAGAUCCUAGGCAGUACAGAAGCUAUUCUGGACCUGGAAGAAAAGAGCGGUUGAGCCCAUCUAAAAUCUCAUUUUCCCCCAAGUGGGCAAACCCUGUCCCAUCCAAAUACAGUUCACCGAGUCAAAUCCCACCUGUAGUUUGUGCACAGCCAAAAACUUCACCUAUUUAUGAAACGAGACGUGGUACCUCUGGAUCUGGUUCAAAGAAUUCACAUUGGAAUCGCUGCAAAAUGCUUAUAGCUCCGUUUCCUGAGAAAAAAAAACGUGUGGUGCGUGGGAACAGAAAAAAAGAGGAGUCGUACGAUUCGAAGAAGGAAAGCUGUGGAUCAGUUUCAAUGAUACCAGUUGGAGCUAGGAAGCGGAGUGAUAAGCGUAAGCUUCCAAUUCAAUCUAGUACACAUACAUCUUGUGAUAAUUUAUUGUUGGGAUCACCACUUCAAAAGACCAGCAAAAUGGACCAACGGCAUCGUACAGCUGAUCAAAAUCACAAAGGCGAAAGCUUGAAAAAUGAUAGCAGUUCCAGUUCAUCAGAGGCAAUUAUAUCCCAUCCUCAGAAAUCAACAAUUCAAGUCAUAUCAAAUAUCAAGAUAACAGAUGGGCGAUAUGAAAAUUUCUUAAAAAAACUCUACUCUAAACUUGAUUGAAUCAGAGCUAAUCACAAAUCUAUUCUGACUUAAAAUAAAUGGGUUGUUAUUACAAAUAUUAAAAAAAAAAUUACAUUCAUAUCAAAAUUCAUGAUCAACUAAAAAUCUGGUUUAUUUUGUGUAUCUUUUUUUUUUGUGGAAAUUAUUUUGUUUAAUUUUCAAGGGUAAUUGUUAAUCGUUAUGUGAAAAGAAGUUGAAUAUAAUAUAUUUAUUUUUUCAAUGUAAGUGGAACAAACAUCUACCUGGUUUUGUAUAUGCACUUAUUUUAAGUUCUCUUGCUUUUGAUUAUAUUAGCUGUAACUUGGCUUCCGUGAACACUUAUUAGCAGCCUUGUGUAUGGGAGGUUGCCAGUAAAAUUUAAAAUAAUUAGUAAAAACUGGCUGUGAAAAUUAUACUUGUCGGUAAUGUAACGUUUGAGCCAAAAUUGUAUGGCAAAGAGUCUUCCCAUUUCUUGCAGUUCCUGCUACUCAAAACUUGUGCGCAAAUCAUUUGUGUAGUUGCUGAUUGGCGAUAUUGUUUCCAGUUUAUGAUAGAACUGUGCAUUUUACACUCUUUCAAAAACGACCUAUGUAUUUAAUCUUACAUCUCUAUAACUUGUUUUAUGCCCUAUACAACGAGUUCUGUUGGAAUAUUCAUAAUGAAGUAAUGAAUGAUUAGUCACUCAUUCAGGCAAAGGUACUUUCAACAUUCACAUAACUAAAAAUCCUGAAUAAUAUAAUAAUUAUUUAUUUAAUUAUAACGUACUUAAAACCUGUGCGAGACACAGAUAGAUAAUAUAAAAUAUUAAAAUUUCAAACGUUACAUGUAUUAUAUGUUUCGAAUUGAAACUAGUAUUGAAAAAUAAUAUUUAUAUAUUUACGAAUAGAAAUAUUAAUAACAUGAGUUUUAUCUCUACGAUUAGUGAUGAGCAUUGAUAUAAUUAGGCAAUAUAUCCAUAACAAUCUAAGUUAUAAUGCAUCAUGUUUGUAUUUGAAAUUGCUGUACAGAGUAAAAUUUUGUUUAUCAUCAAACUGAAAACAAGUUGUCGAACAUUUGGUGGAACCUUUGAUAGGAUUAUGUCAAAAAGUACGGAAUAUGAACCGAAUUUAGUUCAGGGUCAGAAAAGAAUUGCUAAUCGUAAAUGGGACAAUCAAAUCACUGGAAAAGUACUGGCAAAAAUGUUCGUGAUCUAGAAAGAUUAUUAUGAAAAAUGUGAUGUUACGUCAAUGAUGUCAUACUAAAUAGAAUAUCCGAUGCAAUUAUGAAUUUUUUUGGCACCUAUUUCGGCUUUCUAAUUUAUUUGCUGACAUAUUACCAUUCCUAACUUUAACCAAAGUACGUGGUUUCCACAAAUAGUUUAGCGCAAAUUUGAUAGACACGUACUAGUAUCAAUACACAAGCUUUACAUUUAGAUUCACGUACGUAACGUUGAAAGUAAGAUUACUUAUAUCGCCUCUAACAAUUUAUGAUAUUAAUUCAACACAUGGCUAUGAUAAUUUCGAACGUAUUCUCAGUUAUCUUAUGUUGCCAAGUGUUCAGAAGCGAAUGAAUGAGAGGAAUUACUUUUAUUGAUAUAAGUUUGUAUUGUAUAUCACUGUAAACUUCUGUAUCAUUUUCUAAACUGUUGUUUUUCUUCUCCAUGUAAAAUAAAAUAAAAGUAAAUUUUGUAAUAAACUAA